UACGUAGGGUGCAAGCGUUGUCCGGAAUUAUUGGGCGUAAAGAGCUCGUAGGCGGUUUGUCGCGUCUGCUGUGGAAACUCGGGGCUUAACUCCGGGCCUGCAGUGGGUACGGGCAGACUAGAGUGCGGUAGGGGAGACUGGAAUUCCUGGUGUAGCGGUGAAAUGCGCAGAUAUCAGGAGGAACACCGGUGGCGAAGGCGGGUCUCUGGGCCGUAACUGACGCUGAGGAGCGAAAGCGUGGGGAGCGAACAGG
Molecule: ribosomal RNA, 253 nt
Filed under: uncultured bacterium
Lineage: Bacteria
Description: partial 16S ribosomal RNA
Rfam family: Bacterial small subunit ribosomal RNA
Source: RNAcentral